This 5924-nucleotide long non-coding RNA is filed under the name Panax ginseng (ginseng). RNAcentral describes it as "long non-coding RNA (PGIN_LNC007112)". The record is from RNAcentral. Lineage: Eukaryota; Viridiplantae; Streptophyta; Magnoliopsida; Apiales; Araliaceae.
CAGGAAUAAGAUUUCAUAACAAGUGACCCAAAGCUGUCUACGGGUCUCCAUUGCACCCAAAAGAAAAAAAAACAAUCAAAGCUCUGAGGGUAAUAUGCAAAGGGAGAUGUUCUUUCCACAAGACCCCUCCACGUUUUAUCAUCCUUCUAUGACACGCCAGGAUGCAUCGAGGCUUGCACCAAAGAUCUUACCAUUUCCGAAGAAUGUGGGACCCACUUAAUAUUAGCAACAGAAAUAGCUUGUGAAAACCAUGCAUAUUUUGCAAGGAUGGCAUAAAUUAGCAAACCAUCUGGCUGGUAUUGUGUUGUAAAUUGAGAUGCCCUUUACAUCACAUCAAACAAAGUGCAAAACAUAUAUUUCCUGUAGAAAGAAUAAAGAAGAAAGGCAAGAGAAGCUUACAAUAGAAUCUGAUAGCAUUGUCAUACCUUCAUCCACACCACAAACUAACCGUUUCCAUGAAGAAGGAACCUAAAUAUUCUCUUCUAAGAACGUCUUUUAAAUUCUUGAGACCACCAAAUACUAGGAAGAUCAAGAUAUACAAAAAAGGGAAAAAACUUGCAUAUCUAUCACUGUCUCUAUCUAAUUGGUCAUGGUUGUAUUGCAGCUCUCUCUUCCCACUUGUUUGAGUAUCAGAUCAAAGCUCCCUCGUUAUCGUGAGAAACCUCCAUUGAAGCUUACUUCUAUUUGUCCUUCAAGCUCAUUCACAACCAAUUCACAGCAACCUGGAAAUCCAAUUUAUCAGUUUCCUCCAGCAAAUCAGGUCUUCAUUUAUAUAUGCAUUACUUUUAAAGUUGAUAUUACAUCUUUCACUUAAGAAAAAAUUAGAACUUCUAGAUAUAUUUAUCUGUAUUGAAGAAUAUAGUUAUGUCACUAGAGUGUUGCAGCAAUAGUAUUUGGAGAUGGACAAGAGUCGAGGCUUUACCCAUUGACAAAGAGAAGAUCUGAAGGGGCCAUUCCGAUAGCAGGAAACUACAGACUCAUUGAUGGAGUUGUAAGCAACUGCAUUAACAGUAACAUAACCAAGAUUUAUGUUUUAACGCAAUACAACUCCACGUCUCUCAAUUCCCACCUCUCAAGAGCUUAUUCUGGAGCACGUCUUGCCAACGAGGGAUUUGUCGAAGUGAUUGCAGCAUAUCAGAGUCCUGAAAACAGUGGGUGGUUUCAGGUUAGUGUUUCCUUUAUGCAUAGAUAUACAUGGAGACUGCAUCUUAAUGUAAUCGUAUACUCCUCUCUUCCAAAAUUAAAGAUACAUCUCUAAAACGACGACUUUUAGGAAAACUUUGCUUUUCCAAACAUAUCCCUACAUUUGCUAGAAUUGUAGUAGUGGAGGCAUGGUAGUACUCAAUCUAUCUAGUGUAUAAGUAAUGACAUGUUAGGAACUUCAUGUAACUUUAUAGUUAUGUAUCCCUAAUUUGAAAAACAAAUUCUUUAAUUUUGGAACAAAGGGACUAUAUUUUUUACAUAUCAACAUAUCAUAACUACUCCAACUAUAUUCUUCUAUGUUUAGGGAACUGCCGAUGCUGUAAGAAGAUGUUUGUGGGUACUAGAAGAAUAUCCAGUAGUUGAGUUUCUGGUCCUUCCUGGUCACCAUCUAUACAAGAUGGACUAUCAGAAACUUAUAGAGGCCCACCGAAGCAACAAUGCUGAUGUGACUGUAGCGGUCUUGAGUAGCAUGAGAAAUCAUGAUUCGGCUUAUGGUAGUUUUAUAGUAGAUACAGAUAAUCAAGUUAUCAAGUUUAAAGAGAAAGCAAGACAGGCACCGGUGAAGUCCAUGUCAGUAAGUUUUUUACUUACUUUUGCUUAGAGAUUCUCUUCUUUUAUAUAUUAAUUGUAGUCUUCUCUUAAUUUGGGUAUGGACAAGAACAUGAGAAACAAUAUCUUAAGAAGCUCCUAUUGUAAUUUCAGGAACAAAGCUCAGUAAUGUUCAAUGAUACUUCUCACAAUGAUUUCCCAAGCAUGGGGAUCUACGUCAUAAACAGAGAUGUAAUGGUAAAGCUACUAAGAGAAUACUUACCCAAGUCAAAUGACUUGAGAAGUGAAGUAGUACCAGCUGCAAUAUCCUUAGGAAUGAAGGUGAUCAGGUUCUUUAAUCUUUUAUAUUACGUGGAUAGGUCUCACCAUGUAUUCGUUUUGCAAUUUUCAUUUCUUUUUUCUUAACUCUAGAGGAAAUAUUUCAUGCAAUGAACCAGGUUCAGGCAUAUCAAUUUGAUGGGUACUGGGAGGACAUGAGAAACAUUGAAGCAUUUUACCAUGCAAAUAUGGAAGGCACAAAGAAAACAAAUAUGGCAUAUAAGUCGGUAGCUUAAAAUAUUAGGAAAAGUAAAAGGAUAUAGCCAGUGCAUUGCUUUAGUGAAUAUCUCACCUAUAUUCGGUCUCACAUCCAACUAAUAGAAAUUUCAUCUUUUGUUAGCAGCUUCUAUGAUAGAGAUUCUCCUGUUUACACUCUACCUCGGUAUCUGCCUCCAACUCUAAUAACUGAUGCUACAAUUACAGAUAGUGUUAUUGGCGAUGGUUGCAUCCUCAGUGUAAGGACUAGCUUUAAUCAGCCUCAAAACUAAGGAAAUACAUAUGAGUAAAUCUACACACACGUCCAAUUUACACUCUCCUUGCCGAUACGCAGGUAACUUGGUCGUUUUGGGUAAAAAAAUUUACUCCUUUCUGUCCCACAUCUCACCACACCUCCCCAGUUAACUGUCCUCUGUCCCAAUUUCUCUCUCUUCUUCAACAAAUCCAAUCACGGGUUUUCAAGCUGAUGAAGAAAUUGGAAACCCAAAAAUUGAUCAAAAAUCAUUUUAUUUUCGCUAUAAUUCCCCAUUAAUCCAAGUAGGUCUGAUUGGAUUGAAAGUAUAGAAAUACAAUAUAAAUAUUAUGCACAUAUAAGUGCAUGUAAUUGAAGCAACAUGAGCAAAUUAGAACUUUACCAUUGCGAAGUGUUAAAGGAAAAUCAGUCCAUAACUCCGGCCGCUUUGAAAUCUUGAGAACAAAUUCCACAACUUCCUCCGUUAUACCCACUGCAUCUUCGUCCUCCUCUUCUUCUUCGCCUCCAAAUUAGAGGAAAGCAAGGAGAGACUCGUUUUGAAGCUACCGCCGAUCUCAACUAAAUCUUUUUUAAUUCCGAGAAAUGUCUCCGAAGAAGUGUCCUCGGCCGGGGUGGGGACGGAGGAGGGAGGCGAUGGAGAGAGGAAGUCGGCGACGCAACGGAGUUGGAGGCCGAUAGUUUGGCCUAGGACGGAGAGGUCUUCUUUGACGGUGGGAGGUGUAGUAGGGUUUUGAUCUUGGUGAUCUUCUUCUGAUGAGGAUUUGAAGGGAUUUCUUCAUCAGCUUAAAAACCAUGAUUGGAUUUGCUUGAAGAAGAGAGAGAAAUUGGGACAGAGGACAGUUAACUGAAGAGGAAGAGGAGUGGUGAGAUGUGGGACAGAGGAGUAAAAAAAAUACCCAAAAUGACUAAGCUCCCUGUGUGUAUCGGCAAGGAGAGUGUAAAUUGGAUGUGUACUCAAUACAAUAUAUACAUAAUAACAAGGAGCAUAAAUACAUAAUAACAUUUAUAUAUCAUGAACACUUUGCCAUAUUUGUGAAGCUUAUUUUUUUACUUUCUUUCAAUUCUCUUUGUUGGUAUUUACUUUCUUUCAUACAGAAAUGCAGCAUCAAAGGUUCAGUACUUGGUCUGAGGACAAGGGUUGGAGAUGGGGCCGUAAUCAAGGAUACAGUAAUCAUGGGUUCUGAUAUCUAUCAAGUAAGACUGUAAGAGGCAUCACAAAUAUUUCACCUUUCCUUUAUUAAUCCAUUAAUUUCUUGAAGGCUAUUUGGGACCUAAGUGAAAAUGGAUCAAUUCCAAGAUGGAAUUUAAACGAGUAAGCUAAUACUUAUUACUUUUUAAAAAAUUUGUUAUCAAACUAAUAAAGAUUAUCAUAGUGAGAUAACUCCCAUUUUGUUUAGGGAAUUUCUAUGUCCUCAAGAAAACAUGCUACUUCGACAAGGUCCCCCUCACAUUAAUAGUAUGUCCCACACUCGUGAACCGGGCCUUGUGGAACUAGCGAAAUAAUUUGUGAAAAUAGUCAUCCCCUUUGUUUAUCAUAAUGUGAAAGCACUGUCGAAGUAAAAUUUUAAGUAUUUCAAAUUUACACUAAUACCAAACACCUGAUUAAUAAUUUCAUUUCUCAUGCAAAUGUAUAACAAACAAAAUAUGUGCAGAAUGGUAAUGAAGACAAGGGCUUGGCCAUCCCUAUUGGCAUUGGGGAAGGUUCACACAUACAGAAAGCUAUAGUAGAUAAGAAUGCAAGGAUCGGAAAAAAUGUUAUGGUACAAAUCUAGUAAUACUGCGAUAUCCAAUGCAUGUUAUGAUUUAUUUCACUUUGGCAAUUUUAUAGACUAUCAGUAUUUUUAUUUAUUUUUAAUAAGUUUUGAAGGUUAACAAGUUUCGGUACGAAAUGCAAAUCCAACAAUAUUCAAUACUAGGCAUUAAACAUAAUUUUCUCAAACUAUAUUAUAUCCUAAGUCUUUUAUGAUAUCGUUACCAUAAUGAAAUUGUAAUAAGCAGCCUACAAACUUUUUGCCCUAGUUUCUCCUCUGCUAUAAAUAGACGUACAAAACAUAGAUAUAUAUACUUACAUAAAAUGCCUACAUUGCACAUCUAUUUUGUGUGUUGUACAAUGUACAGAGAUAUGUGCAUUACUAUAUACUCUCAGAGUUGCAAUAUUCAUAUUAUGUUGAGAAUUCUCUUUAUCAUUUACCAUCGGAUAAAUGUAUUUUGAUGUCAUGUAGAUUGUAAAUAAAGACAACGUCCAAGAAGGGAACAAUGAAGCUUAUGGCUACAUAAUCACAAUGGGGAUAGUUGUAAUACUAAAGGGAGCUGUCAUCCCAGACGAAAGUGUCCUAUGAGAAUCAUUUCAGAAGCAAAUAGAUUAUUCUUUGAUUAUUAAUUCAGUACAGAAGAAUAUACAGCUUCAGGGGCUCAAAUGUAUACCCGAAUCUCCCCUGAUUUUCCUUUCUUUGUAUUCCUUUAUUCGUCCCUUUUCUUUCUAUUGUCAUUUUCUUCUCCACCUCAGCCGAAUAACUCAUCUUGACUAUGAUAUGUCAUGUCAAUGUCAUACAAAAUAAUUUAGUUCAUGUGAAUUUCAAAUCUCUUCCUUUUUGUUUUUUCCAGUACAAUUUUUUUUUAUCAUGAAUUUAAAGUACUCACACUAUGAGAAAUGAGAAUAAGUUCUUCAACAGCAUAUAUCACCAACUCAUAAAAUCCUCUAAACUGUCUGUACUCAAGAACUUGCAGUUAAUCAUAUAAGUAGAGUAGUGAACAACAAACUAUUUUUGCUUUCACAAUGCUAACUGAAGCUACACUGUGCACUGAACCGGAAAACCCAGCAAGAUUCACGCAUAUUAAACAUCUGCUUCAUUAUAACUGCUUCUUUCCACCAAAACCCUUUACUUGAAUCUACAUAUAUGCUUUGUUUGGAGCUCCGGAAAAUUCAAGGGAAAAGAAUGGAAAAGAAAAUUAAUAAAAAAAAAAGGUAAUAAAUAAAUAAAUAAAUCAACACUGAAUUUUCAAUAUCACAUUCAGUUGAUUUCUAUUCAUUCAUUACCAAAGUUUUUCUAUUUUCAAUACCACAUUUAGUUGGCACCCAAAUGAACAACAUUCACAAUAUAAAGUUACAUCAUGAGAAAUAUGAGAAUCUGAGCUUAUUGAUAGCAUAAGAGAAAGAUUAAAGAAACAAUUCAAAAUCUGUCUAUUAACCUUCAAUCAAAGAACAUGAAGGACUUACAAUUUAAAGUCUUCAAUAGAGUUCUACUGCUACAUAGAGCCUGCAGUACAUGAAGAAUCACAAACCAAAACCAGCCCUUUUCUUGCAAAAGACUCCGACUUUUGGGUUUUGGCUGCUAAAUAUAGUCCCACUCAUAUGACCCGACCCGAUCCAUAAUUUCUCUUGGGU